Long non-coding RNA from Strigops habroptila (Kakapo), 2218 nucleotides. The record is from Ensembl. NCBI's taxonomy places the organism in Eukaryota, Metazoa, Chordata, Aves, Psittaciformes, Psittacidae.
AGAAUAUCUCACAUAUUUAUAAAGAACCAGAAAAAGAAAAGGAAUUAACCCACUGUAUAGUUAAUUACAGAUAAUCUCAAGUACGAAAGUAUUCUCAUGUGGAAUAGUUUGACACCAUAUUACAGACUGCAUUGCAAACCCAAAUCUAUCUAUAUAUAUCUCACUCUGAGGUUUGAAGGUUUUUCUAAAUAAUACAAAAAUAUCUUCAUUAUUUGACAUUUAAAGAGAGGAAUAAAAAUCCCUGAGUAAGCCAAAGACAACUGAUAUGUAUAGCCUCAGAAAACACACUCAAACCAAGACUUUUAAGGCAGCUUCCAACCUCAGACAGAACACAAAUAGAAAACUGAUGUGUCACAGAAGAAGAAAUCUAAUUAAUGGGUGGAUUUGCAUUGACAAUAGGCUUUGAACUUUACUUCUAAAUGUCAUUGCUUCCCUGCUUAAUUUGCACAUCUUAGAAAGGUACUACUACUGUUAGGACAACAGAGUCAACAUGCCCUUAAAUUCAAAAGGAAAUAUUAAGUACUUGUUGACUGUGCUUGCACACACAGUUUCAACAAGAAAAAAACCCCAAGAAAACAAAACCAGAAGCUGACAGAAAACAAGCAUACUAGCCAGCUAUGGUAAGCUGAUAUUUGUGUUUCCAGGUAAACAAGAUUCAUCGGUUUCUUCCACUGAGGCUUUGAAGUCAAAGUGAGUAUCUUGUAACAGUAUUACGUUGGUGGGGCAGAAUACUAUUUACUUAAAAAUUACAACUAUAUUCAGAUUUAAUAACAAUUUUCAAAGAAAGCAGUGCAAAGUACAUCCUCUCAAAUGAUAUGCUGUUUGCAGGCCUAUACUCUGAAGUCUGUAAACUCUUUAGGACAUUGCCAUCUCCCUGCUUCCCCCUCUCCCCAUAUAUAUACACGUGUAUCUUCAAACACACACACUGAAAAAAAGUACCUUUGCAGUACAGAUCCAAUCUUCUGUAAGACCAGCUUGUAUUUUUAAAGUAUAAAGUAGAUACUUCCUUUAUUGUUUCAGUGUUCUGCUUACAUAAAUUUAUUUUCUUCUAUUCUUUAAUUUUAAGUUAUAUUUGUAUGAUAAAUUUGGAUUAUAACCAAAAGUGAAAAAAAUCUCAGUAGCUGAUUCCUAACACUGAAUUACAUUGCUCUUGUGGCGAUGCGCUGAGAAAGAGGUCUGGCAGCGAACAGCAGCACUCUGAAGUUAGGAAAAAAGAGCAAGGAUAAUCAUUCUCUUCAGAUCUGUAAUGUGCCAGGAAGAGAAACACUGCAAGCAGAGAAUAAGGACAAAAUGGUCUCCUAAGAAUUCAUGACCCCUCCCCUUACCCAAAAUUCACAGAUUUUCCUCAUGAGACAUCAGUGGAUGCUCUAAGACUUAUGUAGCCUACUUAAACAAACAAAACAUUCUAUUUAGGUUAUAAAAUUUCACCGUCUAUCUUGACACAACUAGUCUAUAGCAUUAUAUGCCAAGUCAGAACAGAAGAGCAGGUUUCCAGCUUCCCUGCAAACACAUUUCAGGGAUAUCUUGGGACAGAACAGGCCAGUGACACUUCCUCUUAUCUAAACCCCUCAAUUUUUUUUCUGUACUGGAAGGAUUUCAGAAUGCAGUACUUUUCUAACAAAUCCAUCACACACCCCCAAUCAAUAUUAAUAGACUGCCAUAAAUACUGAAGUGAACCCAAUCAGCAUAUUUGUAAGUAUAAUGGACCUUCAAUACUAAGGAUUAUUUCCCUCUGAGGCACUGCAGUUUGGCGGUGGCAAUCUACACUCUUGCCUAGGACUUGGAAGAUAACCAGCUGUCGUGCUCUGGCAUGUGACGGGGUUUUGGUAUGCUGAACAGAAUGCUGUGUGAUGGAAGUUAUUUACAGAAGUAGUUUUUAAUACCAAAAGUAGUAUGCUCAGUAUACAGUAAGAGUCCAAACACUUCUAAGCAUUUCCCCCUUAAAGGCCGACACUGAAGUUAAACGGAGCACAUGUUAGCAGUUAAAUGCUUUCUUCACAGGCCAAAUCGGUAGUAGAGUUGUGGCUACAAGAGAGACUUUGAUUGUCUAGUUCAGAAACUUAGACUCAAAAAACCCCUCCAAAGUAAUAAUUAAAAAAAAAAACAAACAAAACCCAAAACAUUUAAAAAGCAGCAGUCAGGGGGCCCAUCUUGUUCAGAGUGCACCAGAGCAAAGAGGCUUUCUGGUCUGCAGUAGUGUUUUCAUCUGAGGGAAGAC